GAUUAACGCUGGCGGCGUGCCUAACACAUGCAAGUCGAACGAGGUAGCAAUACCUAGUGGCAGACGGGUGAGUAACACGUGGUCAACCUUCCCUAGCGUGGGGGAUAACUAGCCGAAAGGUUAGCUAAUACCGCAUGAUAUCUACGAGUGGCAUCACAUGUAGAUCAAAGGAGCAAUCCGCGCAAGGAUGGGACCGCGCCCGAUUAGUUAGUUGGUGGGGUAAUGGCCUACCAAGACUCCGAUCGGUAGCUGGUUUGAGAGAGCGACCAGCCACACU
This 277-nucleotide ribosomal RNA is filed under the name uncultured bacterium. RNAcentral's name for it is "partial 16S ribosomal RNA". It matches the Rfam family "Bacterial small subunit ribosomal RNA", at positions 28 to 314 of the family's 1533-position model. The record is from RNAcentral.